AGAAACUCAGUCACUGACUUUGGAUGAAAUAGAAAGACACUGGUCUCUCAAAAAUGUUGCCAACCUCUUUUAAAAAUUUUAUUAAGGCUCUGUUGACCAUCAUCUCUGUUAUGCAAUAUGAUCUUUCUGCUGACCCCUGCAACAACUACACUGUGCAGGACAAUGCUUGGAGAGCCACCAACUAUAUCCCCUCCUCCUACAUGUCUGACACCUCUGUCAGUUGGGC
This is a non-coding RNA of Paramisgurnus dabryanus, 226 nucleotides long. The record is from RefSeq and is a predicted model, not a curated record. Lineage: Eukaryota; Metazoa; Chordata; Actinopteri; Cypriniformes; Cobitidae.